RNAcentral lists this ribosomal RNA (253 nucleotides) under uncultured bacterium. RNAcentral's name for it is "partial 16S ribosomal RNA". It matches the Rfam family "Bacterial small subunit ribosomal RNA", at positions 524 to 776 of the family's 1533-position model. The record is from RNAcentral.
UACGUAGGGUGCAAGCGUUGUCCGGAAUUAUUGGGCGUAAAGAGCUCGUAGGCGGUCUGUCGCGUCGGAUGUGAAAAUCCAGGGCUCAACCCUGGACCUGCAUUCGAUACGGGCAGACUAGAGUUCGGCAGGGGAGACUGGAAUUCCUGGUGUAGCGGUGAAAUGCGCAGAUAUCAGGAGGAAUACCGGUGGCGAAGGCGGGUCUCUGGGCCGAAACUGACGCUGAGGAGCGAAAGCGUGGGGAGCGAACAGG